GACGAACGCUGGCGGCGUGCUUAACACAUGCAAGUCGAACGCUGAAGACCUGGCUUUUGUUGGGUUGGAUGAGUGGCGAACGGGUGAGUAACACGUGAGUAACCUGCCCUCUUCUUUGGGAUAACGCCCGGAAACGGGUGCUAAUACUGGAUAUUCACUGAUCUUCGCAUGGGGGUUGGUGGAAAGGUUUGUUCUGGUGGGGGAUGGGCUCGCGGCCUAUCAGCUUGUUGGUGGGGUGAUGGCCUACCAAGGCUUUGACGGGUAGCCGGCCUGAGAGGGUGACCGGUCACAUUGGGACUGAGAUACGGCCCAGACUCCUACGGGAGGCAGCAGUGGGGAAUAUUGAACAAUGGGCGAAAGCCUGAUGCAGCGACGCCGCGUGAGGGAUGGAGGCCUUCGGGUUGUAAACCUCUUUCGCUCAUGGUCAAGCCGCAACUGUGGGUUGUGGUGAGGGUAGUGGGUAAAGAAGCGCCGGCUAACUACGUG
This 486-nucleotide ribosomal RNA is filed under the name uncultured bacterium. Its description in RNAcentral is "partial 16S ribosomal RNA". It matches the Rfam family "Bacterial small subunit ribosomal RNA", at positions 28 to 507 of the family's 1533-position model. The record is from RNAcentral.